AACGAACGCUGGCGGCAUGCCUAACACAUGCAAGUCGAACGAGACCCUCGGGUUUAGUGGCGCACGGGUGUGUAACGCGUGGGAACCUGCCCCUUGGUUCGGAAUAACUCACCGAAAGGGGUCCUAAUACCCGAUAAUGUCUUCGGACCAAAGAUUUAUCGCCUUUGGAUGGGCCCGCGUUGGAUUAGCUAGUUGGUAGGGUAAAAGCCUACCAAGGCGACGAUCCAUAGCUGGUCUGAGAGGAUGAUCAGCCACACUGGGACUGAGACACGGCCCAGACUCCUACGGGAGGCAGCAGUGGGGAAUAUUGGACAAUGGGCGAAAGCCUGAUCCAGCAAUGCCGCGUGAGUGAUGAAGGCCUUAGGGUUGUAAAGCUCUUUUACCCGGGAUGAUAAUGACAGUACCGGGAGAAUAAGCUCCGGCUAACUCCGUG
RNAcentral lists this ribosomal RNA (433 nucleotides) under uncultured bacterium. RNAcentral's name for it is "partial 16S ribosomal RNA". It matches the Rfam family "Bacterial small subunit ribosomal RNA", at positions 29 to 507 of the family's 1533-position model. The record is from RNAcentral.